Molecule: transfer RNA, 66 nt
Filed under: Amphimerus sp. JM-2019
Lineage: Eukaryota; Metazoa; Platyhelminthes; Trematoda; Opisthorchiida; Opisthorchiidae
Description: tRNA-Ser
Source: RNAcentral
GCAGAUAAGGGGUUUCCCGGUUGUGAUUUGAAGUCAUUGUUAUCUUCUGGCUAGAGGAUAUCUGCU